UACGUAGGGUGCAAGCGUUAAUCGGAAUUACUGGGCGUAAAGGGCGCGUAGGCGGCCAACUAAGUCGGAUGUGAAAUCCCCAGGCUCAACUUGGGAACUGCAUCCGAUACUGGUCGGCUUGAAUCCGGGAGAGGGAUGCAGAAUUCCAGGUGUAGCGGUGAAAUGCGUAGAUAUCUGGAGGAAUACCGGUGGCGAAGGCGGCAUCCUGGACCGGCAUUGACGCUGAUGUGCGAAAGCUAGGGGAGCAAACGGG
This 253-nucleotide ribosomal RNA is filed under the name uncultured bacterium. RNAcentral describes it as "partial 16S ribosomal RNA". It matches the Rfam family "Bacterial small subunit ribosomal RNA", at positions 524 to 776 of the family's 1533-position model. The record is from RNAcentral.